UACAGAGGUCCCGAGCGUUGUUCGGAUUCACUGGGCGUAAAGGGUGCGCAGGUGGCUUGGCAAGUUUGAUGUGAAAGCUCAGGGCUUAACCCUGAAAUCGCAUUGAAUACUGUUGAGCUGGAGGUUUGGAGGGGGGACUGGAAUUCUUGGUGUAGCAGUGAAAUGCGUAGAUAUCAAGAGGAACACCGGUGGCGAAGGCGAGUCCCUGGACAACACCUGACACUGAGGCACGAAAGCUAGGGGAGCAAACAGG
RNAcentral lists this ribosomal RNA (253 nucleotides) under uncultured bacterium. RNAcentral's name for it is "partial 16S ribosomal RNA". It matches the Rfam family "Bacterial small subunit ribosomal RNA", at positions 524 to 776 of the family's 1533-position model. The record is from RNAcentral.